CAUGCAAGUCGAGCGGUAGCACAGAGAGCUUGCUCUCGGGUGACGAGCGGCGGACGGGUGAGUAAUGUCUGGGAAACUGCCUGAUGGAGGGGGAUAACUACUGGAAACGGUAGCUAAUACCGCAUAACGUCGCAAGACCAAAGUGGGGGACCUUCGGGCCUCAUGCCAUCAGAUGUGCCCAGAUGGGAUUAGCUAGUAGGUGGGGUAACGGCUCACCUAGGCGACGAUCCCUAGCUGGUCUGAGAGGAUGACCAGCCACACUGGAACUGAGACACGGUCCAGACUCCUACGGGAGGCAGCAGUGGGGAAUAUUGCACAAUGGGCGCAAGCCUGAUGCAGCCAUGCCGCGUGUGUGAAGAAGGCCUUCGGGUUGUAAAGCACUUUCAGCGGGGAGGAAGGCGGUGAGGUUAAUAACCUUGUCGAUUGACGUUACCCGCAGAAGAAGCACCGGCUAACUCCGUGCCAGCAGCCGCGGUAAUACGGAGGGUGCAAGCGUUAAUCGGAAUUACUGGGCGUAAAGCGCACGCAGGCGGUCUGUCAAGUCGGAUGUGAAAUCCCCGGGCUCAACCUGGGAACUGCAUUCGAAACUGGCAGGCUAGAGUCUUGUAGAGGGGGGUAGAAUUCCAGGUGUAGCGGUGAAAUGCGUAGAGAUCUGGAGGAAUACCGGUGGCGAAGGCGGCCCCCUGGACAAAGACUGACGCUCAGGUGCGAAAGCGUGGGGAGCAAACAGGAUUAGAUACCCUGGUAGUCCACGCCGUAAACGAUGUCGAUUUGGAGGUUGUGCCCUUGAGGCGUGGCUUCCGGAGCUAACGCGUUAAAUCGACCGCCUGGGGAGUACGGCCGCAAGGUUAAAACUCAAAUGAAUUGACGGGGGCCCGCACAAGCGGUGGAGCAUGUGGUUUAAUUCGAUGCAACGCGAAGAACCUUACCUGGUCUUGACAUCCACAGAACUUUCCAGAGAUGGAUUGGUGCCUUCGGGAACUGUGAGACAGGUGCUGCAUGGCUGUCGUCAGCUCGUGUUGUGAAAUGUUGGGUUAAGUCCCGCAACGAGCGCAACCCUUAUCCUUUGUUGCCAGCGGUUCGGCCGGGAACUCAAAGGAGACUGCCAGUGAUAAACUGGAGGAAGGUGGGGAUGACGUCAAGUCAUCAUGGCCCUUACGACCAGGGCUACACACGUGCUACAAUGGCAUAUACAAAGAGAAGCGACCUCGCGAGAGCAAGCGGACCUCAUAAAGUAUGUCGUAGUCCGGAUUGGAGUCUGCAACUCGACUCCAUGAAGUCGGAAUCGCUAGUAAUCGUAGAUCAGAAUGCUACGGUGAAUACGUUCCCGGGCCUUGUACACACCGCCCGUCACACCAUGGGAGUGGGUUGCAAAAGAAGUAGGUAGCUUA
This 1391-nucleotide ribosomal RNA is filed under the name Klebsiella pneumoniae. RNAcentral describes it as "bacterial SSU rRNA". It matches the Rfam family "Bacterial small subunit ribosomal RNA". The record is from RNAcentral. Lineage: Bacteria; Pseudomonadati; Pseudomonadota; Gammaproteobacteria; Enterobacterales; Enterobacteriaceae.